Molecule: non-coding RNA, 72 nt
Organism: Parelaphostrongylus tenuis
Lineage: Eukaryota; Metazoa; Nematoda; Chromadorea; Rhabditida; Metastrongylidae
Source: the annotation of a GenBank genome assembly
UCCUUGGUAGUACGGUGGUUAGUACCCGCGUCUGUCACAUUUGAGACCCGGGUUCAAUUCCAUGCCGGGGAG